RNAcentral lists this non-coding RNA (22 nucleotides) under Arabidopsis thaliana (thale cress). Lineage: Eukaryota; Viridiplantae; Streptophyta; Magnoliopsida; Brassicales; Brassicaceae. The record is from RNAcentral.
UCAGGUGGGGAGUUUGGCUGGG